Molecule: ribosomal RNA, 490 nt
Filed under: uncultured bacterium
Lineage: Bacteria
Description: partial 16S ribosomal RNA
Rfam family: Bacterial small subunit ribosomal RNA
Source: RNAcentral
AAUGAACGCUGGCGGCAUGCCUUACACAUGCAAGUCCAACGGCAGCAUGACCUAGCUUGCUAGGUUGAUGGCGAGUGGCGAACGGGUGAGUAAUGCAUCGGAACGUGCCUUUUAGUGGGGGAUAACGUAGCGAAAGUUACGCUAAUACCGCAUAUUCUCUGAGGAGGAAAGCAGGGGACCUUCGGGCCUUGCGCUAGAAGAGCGGCCGAUGUCGGAUUAGCUAGUUGGUGAGGUAAAGGCUCACCAAGGCAACGAUCCGUAGCGGGUCUGAGAGGAUGAUCCGCCACACUGGGACUGAGACACGGCCCAGACUCCUACGGGAGGCAGCAGUGGGGAAUUUUGGACAAUGGGCGCAAGCCUGAUCCAGCCAUGCCGCGUGAGUGAAGAAGGCCUUCGGGUUGUAAAGCUCUUUCGGCUGGGAAGAAAUCGCACCCUCUAAUACAGGGUGUGGAUGACGGUACCAGCAUAAGAAGCACCGGCUAACUACGUG